AGAUUGGGGGUGGUAGUAGUUUUCAAAUUUUUUGAAAAGUUAUUUGCACAAUAUUGCGUAAUAGAUUUGUAAGAUCUUGACAUUUUCUUUUGUAUCAAAAAUUCAUAUUAUGUGAAGAAUUUGAUUACAAUGUAAAUUCGGAACUGUAUCAAGCUUGAAUAUUGUGUCCAUACUUGCCCCAACUGUUCAGGGUUUGACCUCUGCCGUUGUAUAAAGCUGUGCCCUGGGGAGCAUCUGGUUGGAAUUAAUUUGUUUACAUUAUCAUGUGCGUUAAUAUAACUUUACAUACACACAAGAAAC
RNAcentral lists this long non-coding RNA (300 nucleotides) under Mytilus galloprovincialis (Mediterranean mussel). The record is from RNAcentral. Lineage: Eukaryota; Metazoa; Mollusca; Bivalvia; Mytilida; Mytilidae.